AGGAAGUGGAGACAAUGUUUCGGCUCCUCUCUGAGCCUUUAUCAAGUCUGAUAAACUUAACUUGAUGGAAUUGAUAGAGGCUCAGAGGGGAGCUGAAAUGUUGUCUCCACUUCC
Molecule: non-coding RNA, 114 nt
Organism: Pelobates cultripes (western spadefoot toad)
Lineage: Eukaryota; Metazoa; Chordata; Amphibia; Anura; Pelobatidae
Source: the annotation of a GenBank genome assembly